AUUGAACGCUGGCGGCAUGCCUUACACAUGCAAAUCGAACGGUAACGGGCCUUCGGGUGCCGACGAGUGGCGAACGGGUGAGUAAUACAUCGGAACGUGCCCGAUCGUGGGGGAUAACGAGGCGAAAGCUUUGCUAAUACCGCAUACGAUCUACGGAUGAAAGCAGGGGACCGCAAGGCCUUGCGCGGACGGAGCGGCCGAUGGCAGAUUAGGUAGUUGGUGGGAUAAAAGCUUACCAAGCCGACGAUCUGUAGCUGGUCUGAGAGGAUGAUCAGCCACACUGGGACUGAGACACGGCCCAGACUCCUACGGGAGGCAGCAGUGGGGAAUUUUGGACAAUGGGCGCAAGCCUGAUCCAGCCAUGCCGCGUGCAGGAUGAAGGCCUUCGGGUUGUAAACUGAUUUUGUACGGAACGAAAAGCCUUCUUUUAAUACAGGAGGGUCAUGACGGUACCGUAAGAAUAAGCACCGGCUAACUACG
This 480-nucleotide ribosomal RNA is filed under the name uncultured bacterium. RNAcentral describes it as "partial 16S ribosomal RNA". It matches the Rfam family "Bacterial small subunit ribosomal RNA", at positions 30 to 505 of the family's 1533-position model. The record is from RNAcentral.